CCUCCUCACAAGGGAAGCCUCGUUUAUUAAGCAACUUGAUCUCUCCCUGUGAGAUCAUAUGUGCAAAACAGGUUGAGCCAUGCCUGAGGGUGUUGCCCUGUGGAAUCUGUAGAUAAGGAUGCUUUAUACCUGGUGUGCCUGAGAGGCCAGUUACAUUCUGCGGCUUCCAGAGGGAACCAGCCUCCAGAGGAGUACAGUUAUUCCAUUUUUCUUGGGACCCAGGUAUCACUACUGAGACCACAAUGGCAUGGUGGAAGGCCUGGAGUGAAGCAGAGGGCAGGUCCGUGGCAGGUGCUUUAAAUUUUAAUGCUGCACCUGAUGCUCAGAUUCUGUAA
Molecule: long non-coding RNA, 335 nt
Organism: Ficedula albicollis (Collared flycatcher)
Lineage: Eukaryota; Metazoa; Chordata; Aves; Passeriformes; Muscicapidae
Exons: 3
Source: RefSeq, a predicted model, not a curated record